UACACCUCUAAUCCAAUAUAGCGAACCAAACGUGCUCUAAGUGUUUCUCUCUGUCACCAUCGUCUUCAUCAUCAUCUUCCCCUCUCUCCCUCUUUUUGCAUACAUCUUAGAAGAGCUCAUACUUUAUCUGUUUCUCAUGUGACUUUGCCUUUCUCAACUUCUUCUCAAUCAUUUAUUUCCAUUUCCUUCAACAUACAAAUUAUGGGUUUAAACUUUGAAGGAUUUGGGAUGUUCUUUCAAACAAAGAAGUGGUAGAUAUUAUAGAAUCUGCCCCAGCUUGUUCGUCUGCUGCUCGAACCUUGCUUCAAACAGCAGUUCAAGCAUGGAGAUACAAAUAUCCGACUUCAAAAGUUGAUGACUGUGCUGUUGUAAUAAUAAGGUUUUCUGUUGCAACGCAUGUAUUAUGAAAGGAUCAGAUGCAAUGGGUUGCAUGGAAGAGGCUUUUAGCUUUUGAGAAGGUAGUGAUGCCUUGUCAAUGGCUGAAUGUCAAAAUGAAAUGCAAAAGCUUUUCAAGGAGUAAGCCACUUUUUCAUUAGAACAAGCCUGUAUGUCUGUUGACAGUAGUUGUCAUAAAAAAUUGUUUGCACGCCCUUUGGUUCCAUGAUUGAAUCAUAAAAAUUAGUUAAUUGGCUUUUUAUGCUAUUAUCUCUUUAAUUUUUUGAAGAGCCCUUCCACUUAGAUAUUUCGUUGAUGUAAAAGAUGCUGGGAGCUCCACAUCGAUUUAAAUGUGUUUUUAAUUUAUUUAUUUAUAGUGCUCUUAUCCCAUUAGAUGAUCUGUUAAAAUAUACUCUACUAUUGGAUUUGGGAUAUCUAUUUUAAGGUUGAUGUUUCUUUUGAUCCUGGUGUGUUCAUGUAUAUGUCUUCAAACAUACUGGCUUUUGAAAUUAGAUUGUGUCGGAGUCACAAAAAAAGACUACCUACAGAAGAUAAAAGUGGUGCUGGUAUCAGAAUUCAUGAUAACAAUGAAGGAGAGGAAUCCUCGGCUGUGCGAUUUGAAGGGGAAGUGUCACUGGGAGAUUUAAUAUGGCUCAAACUCCUUGGGGAAACAUGGUGGCCUGCAGUGGUAUGCCUAUUGCUGUGGUUGUUUGAUCUUGCAACUAGUUCUCUUUUCCGACCUUUUAAAGAUUAAUUAGCAUUUGGAGCAGAAUUAUGUAGUUCUGUGGAUUUUAUUUGUCGAUAUUGUUUCAGGUUGUAUUUUAAUUGUGUUAUUAAUUUAUUAUUUUAAAUUCUAAAAACUAAAUUCAUUAA
Long non-coding RNA from Gossypium raimondii (Peruvian cotton), 1248 nucleotides. RefSeq lists it as uncharacterized. NCBI's taxonomy places the organism in Eukaryota, Viridiplantae, Streptophyta, Magnoliopsida, Malvales, Malvaceae. The record is from RefSeq and is a predicted model, not a curated record. The transcript has 4 exons.